GGGGAUUUUUUCACACUCAGGACACCUGCCACCCCACUGAGAGCUUGGGUUGAUUCAGCUGACUGGGCUGGGCAGAUGUCCUCGUCCUUCCUCACUGCACCAUGUAUGCCCCUCCUAAAGCUGCAAGCUACGUCACUAUGUCGACAAGGACAAUGCUCCCUGAACAGAGAAGCCUGGGCUUCAGUCAAGGGUACAUGAGUGGCCGCACUCCUCCAAACAAGCUCCCAAACAGGACACUCAUGCUUACAAGGUCCCAGACUGCACAGCUAGGAGGUAAGAGAAGCAGGCCCCGAGUCAGCCGGCCCUGAAGGGUCACCUGUCUAU
Non-coding RNA from Mesocricetus auratus (golden hamster), 324 nucleotides. The record is from Rfam. NCBI's taxonomy places the organism in Eukaryota, Metazoa, Chordata, Mammalia, Rodentia, Cricetidae.